Tribolium castaneum (red flour beetle) is the source of this 534-nucleotide long non-coding RNA. RefSeq lists it as uncharacterized. NCBI's taxonomy places the organism in Eukaryota, Metazoa, Arthropoda, Insecta, Coleoptera, Tenebrionidae. The transcript is spliced from 2 exons. The record is from RefSeq and is a predicted model, not a curated record.
UUCAUAUACGUCGGUUGGAAUGUAUAAAAAAACAAAUUAGAAUAGAAAUCAGUGGUGUUAUUCUUGAAAUUUGGCGAAAAGUCAAAUAAAUUUGUCAAAAAAUGUUUCCAUUUUUCGUCGACUAACUGCGUUUAGAAAUGGUUUAGACUGGCAGUCGUCGUCAAUUCACUGUUUUUUUUAUAUGAACUCCAAAUUUUAAAAGAGAUUUCUUUAAAUGGUUAUCAUCGAUGAAAGAGACAGAAAAUGAACCUUUCCUGCCAAGUUUUACGUUUAUUAUUAACAAGCAUUUGGAAAAGUGGAUUGUCGAAAUAAUGUUAUGUACAAAAUUUAUGAGAUUUUGGGAAUUUGUCUAAGCAUUUACAAAAUACGUAGGUACUUGAACCCAAAAUUGGUUCUAAUUUGUAGGAAAGUUGAACCUGUCACUGCUUGGCCACCAUCUACGUGAACUUUAGCUACUGUUUCAAAUUAUAAAGUUAUUGGGAAUUCACGAUUUUGUUACGUUUUUCAUACGAGAACAUCUUCAAUAUCAUUUUU